RNAcentral lists this ribosomal RNA (1351 nucleotides) under Microbacterium testaceum. RNAcentral describes it as "bacterial SSU rRNA". It matches the Rfam family "Bacterial small subunit ribosomal RNA", at positions 78 to 1441 of the family's 1533-position model. Lineage: Bacteria; Bacillati; Actinomycetota; Actinomycetes; Micrococcales; Microbacteriaceae. The record is from RNAcentral.
GCUUGCUUGGUGGAUCAGUGGCGAACGGGUGAGUAACACGUGAGCAACCUGCCCUGGACUCUGGGAUAAGCGCUGGAAACGGCGUCUAAUACUGGAUAUGAGACGUGAUCGCAUGGUCGUGUUUGGAAAGAUUUUUCGGUCUGGGAUGGGCUCGCGGCCUAUCAGCUUGUUGGUGAGGUAAUGGCUCACCAAGGCGUCGACGGGUAGCCGGCCUGAGAGGGUGACCGGCCACACUGGGACUGAGACACGGCCCAGACUCCUACGGGAGGCAGCAGUGGGGAAUAUUGCACAAUGGGCGAAAGCCUGAUGCAGCAACGCCGCGUGAGGGAUGACGGCCUUCGGGUUGUAAACCUCUUUUAGCAGGGAAGAAGCGAAAGUGACGGUACCUGCAGAAAAAGCGCCGGCUAACUACGUGCCAGCAGCCGCGGUAAUACGUAGGGCGCAAGCGUUAUCCGGAAUUAUUGGGCGUAAAGAGCUCGUAGGCGGUUUGUCGCGUCUGCUGUGAAAUCCCGAGGCUCAACCUCGGGCCUGCAGUGGGUACGGGCAGACUAGAGUGCGGUAGGGGAGAUUGGAAUUCCUGGUGUAGCGGUGGAAUGCGCAGAUAUCAGGAGGAACACCGAUGGCGAAGGCAGAUCUCUGGGCCGUAACUGACGCUGAGGAGCGAAAGGGUGGGGAGCAAACAGGCUUAGAUACCCUGGUAGUCCACCCCGUAAACGUUGGGAACUAGUUGUGGGGACCAUUCCACGGUUUCCGUGACGCAGCUAACGCAUUAAGUUCCCCGCCUGGGGAGUACGGCCGCAAGGCUAAAACUCAAAGGAAUUGACGGGGACCCGCACAAGCGGCGGAGCAUGCGGAUUAAUUCGAUGCAACGCGAAGAACCUUACCAAGGCUUGACAUAUACGAGAACGGGCCAGAAAUGGUCAACUCUUUGGACACUCGUAAACAGGUGGUGCAUGGUUGUCGUCAGCUCGUGUCGUGAGAUGUUGGGUUAAGUCCCGCAACGAGCGCAACCCUCGUUCUAUGUUGCCAGCACGUAAUGGUGGGAACUCAUGGGAUACUGCCGGGGUCAACUCGGAGGAAGGUGGGGAUGACGUCAAAUCAUCAUGCCCCUUAUGUCUUGGGCUUCACGCAUGCUACAAUGGCCGGUACAAAGGGCUGCAAUACCGUGAGGUGGAGCGAAUCCCAAAAAGCCGGUCCCAGUUCGGAUUGAGGUCUGCAACUCGACCUCAUGAAGUCGGAGUCGCUAGUAAUCGCAGAUCAGCAACGCUGCGGUGAAUACGUUCCCGGGUCUUGUACACACCGCCCGUCAAGUCAUGAAAGUCGGUAACACCUGAAGCCGGUGGCCCAACCC